GUCUACGGCCAUAUCGCCCUGAAUGCGCCCAAUCUCGUCUGAUUUCAGAAGCUAAGCAGAGUCGGGCCUGGUUAGUACUUGGAUGGGAGAAGGAAGUUGUGCUCA
This 105-nucleotide ribosomal RNA is filed under the name Pteropus alecto (black flying fox). The record is from RNAcentral. Lineage: Eukaryota; Metazoa; Chordata; Mammalia; Chiroptera; Pteropodidae.